RNAcentral lists this ribosomal RNA (482 nucleotides) under uncultured soil bacterium. RNAcentral's name for it is "bacterial SSU rRNA". It matches the Rfam family "Bacterial small subunit ribosomal RNA", at positions 26 to 518 of the family's 1533-position model. The record is from RNAcentral.
AGGACGAACGCUGGCGGCGUGCUUAAAACAUGCAAGUCGAACGAGGUGCCAACUUCGGUUGGUUACCUAGUGGCGGACGGGUGAGUAACACGUGGGUGACCUGCCCGAAAGUGGGGGAUAACCUCCCGAAAGGGAAGCUAAUACCGCAUGUGGUCGUCAAUUCAUUUUGACGAGUAAAGCCGCAAGGCGCUUUCGGAGGGGCUCGCGGCCGAUUAGCUUGUUGGUGGGGUAAUGGCCUACCAAGGCGACGAUCGGUAGCUGGUCUGAGAGGACGACCAGCCACAUGGGGGACUGAGACACGGCCCCCAACUCCUACGGGAGGCAGCAGUUGGGAAUAUUGCGCAAUGGGCGAAAGCCUGACGCAGCGACGCCGCGUGGGGGGACGAAGGGCUCUUGGGUCGUAAACCCCGUUUUGCCGGGGAAGAAGAUCUGACGGUACCCGGCGAAUAAGGCCACGGCUAACCGUACGUGCCAGCAGCCGC